Molecule: long non-coding RNA, 723 nt
Organism: Cavia porcellus (domestic guinea pig)
Lineage: Eukaryota; Metazoa; Chordata; Mammalia; Rodentia; Caviidae
Exons: 5
Source: RefSeq, a predicted model, not a curated record
CACAGCUCUUCAGGGAGGAGGAGGAGGAGGCUGAGGGCCGGCCCACGGUCUCUGGCAGAACAGUGGACUAUGGAGACAGAAGCCAGGUUGGGACGAGCUGAGGAGACAGAUGGUGGUAACUGGGGAGACAAAAGAUUCUGCUCCUGAGUGCCAGCUGGAGACCCAGGGACACCAUGGGACCAGUCUCCCAGGCAUGAGGAAGGGCUGCCCAGUCCACAAACAGGAAGCAGAAUUCUGCAGAGGACUUCCUUCCCUCCCUCAAGGCAACAUGUUAACAGUGCUGUAUCUCUGAAAAUAGCUACCUUCGAAACUACAGUCAUCGUGUUCUCAUCAGUCCUGUCCUUGCUGCCGGUUUAACUAAGGAAAGGAAAAGAAAGAAAGGGAGAACUGAAAUCCAGGGUUGCUAUCAAGAAAACACAAUUUUACCCAGUUCCAGGCAAAUUCGGAUCUUUCAGGUUUAAAGCCACUGAAGCUUCCCUACGCUGAAGGCCCCGCACUUUUCUGGGGUCCAUCAUGGUACCAUCGGAAACCUCCAGCCCCCGCUCUUCGUCUUCACCCAGGACAUAGUCCACCCACAUGGUUGCAGAGAAAGUCCCUGUGUGAGUAGAGAAUGAUCUAGCCUACUCCUCUGUUGACUGGUCCAGAAUCCUGCAGGCAGCAUCUUCCUCUGGGACUUUGGAAGUGGCAUGGGGAAAGAGAAGUCAGUGUGGUUUGAACUUCAAG